UGGGGAAUAUUGGACAAUGGAGGGAACUCUGAUCCAGCAAUUCUGUGUGCACGAAGAAGGUUUUCGGAUUGUAAAGUGCUUUCAGUUGGGAAGAAGGAAGUGACGGUACCAACAGAAGAAGCGACGGCUAAAUACGUGCCAGCAGCCGCGGUAAUACGUAUGUCGCGAGCGUUAUCCGGAAUUAUUGGGCAUAAAGGGCAUCUAGGCGGUUAUGCAAGUCAGGGGUGAAAACUUACGGCUCAACCGUGAGCUUGCCUUUGAAACUGUGUGACUAGAGUACUGGAGAGGUGGGCGGAACUACACGAGUAGAGGUGAAAUUCGUAGAUAUGUGUAGGAAUGCCGAUGAUGAAGAUAGCUCACUGGACAGAAACUGACGCUGAAGUGCGAAAGCUAGGGGAGCGAACAGGAUUAGAUACCCUGGUAGUCCACGCUGUAAACGUUGGGCACUAGGUGUGGGGGCCACCCGUGGUUUCUGCGCCGUAGCUAACGCUUUAAGUGCCCCGCCUGGGGAGUACGGCCGCAAGGCUA
RNAcentral lists this ribosomal RNA (528 nucleotides) under uncultured bacterium. RNAcentral's name for it is "bacterial SSU rRNA". It matches the Rfam family "Bacterial small subunit ribosomal RNA", at positions 355 to 896 of the family's 1533-position model. The record is from RNAcentral.